This 450-nucleotide ribosomal RNA is filed under the name uncultured bacterium. Its description in RNAcentral is "partial 16S ribosomal RNA". It matches the Rfam family "Bacterial small subunit ribosomal RNA", at positions 354 to 796 of the family's 1533-position model. The record is from RNAcentral.
GUGGGGAAUUUUGGACAAUGGGCGAAAGCCUGAUCCAGCCAUGCCGCGUGCAGGAUGAAGGCCUUCGGGUUGUAAACUGCUUUUGUACGGAACGAAACGGUCCGGGUUAAUACCCUGGGCUAAUGACGGUACCGUAAGAAUAAGCACCGGCUAACUACGUGCCAGCAGCCGCGGUAAUACGUAGGGUGCAAGCGUUAAUCGGAAUUACUGGGCGUAAAGCGUGCGCAGGCGGUUUUGUAAGACAGGCGUGAAAUCCCCGGGCUCAACCUGGGAAUUGCGCUUGUGACUGCAAGGCUGGAGUGCGGCAGAGGGGGAUGGAAUUCCGCGUGUAGCAGUGAAAUGCGUAGAUAUGCGGAGGAACACCGAUGGCGAAGGCAAUCCCCUGGGCCUGCACUGACGCUCAUGCACGAAAGCGUGGGGAGCAAACAGGAUUAGAUACCCCUGUAGUCC